UACGAAGGGUGCAAACGUUGCUCGGAAUUAUUGGGCGUAAAGCGCACGUAGGCGGCUUAGUAAGUUGGAUGUGAGAUCCCUCGGCUUAACCAAGGAAGUGCAUCCAAAACUACUGAGCUUGAGUACUAAAGAGGAUCGCGGAAUUCCCGGUGUAGAGGUGAAAUUCGUAGAUAUCGGGAGGAACACCAGUGGCGAAGGCGGCGAUCUGGGUAGAUACUGACGCUGAGGUGCGAAAGCGUGGGGAGCAAACAGG
Molecule: ribosomal RNA, 253 nt
Filed under: uncultured bacterium
Lineage: Bacteria
Description: partial 16S ribosomal RNA
Rfam family: Bacterial small subunit ribosomal RNA
Source: RNAcentral